RNAcentral lists this ribosomal RNA (483 nucleotides) under uncultured bacterium. RNAcentral describes it as "bacterial SSU rRNA". It matches the Rfam family "Bacterial small subunit ribosomal RNA", at positions 94 to 578 of the family's 1533-position model. The record is from RNAcentral.
AGUGGCGCACGGGUGCGUAACACGUGAGUUACAUGCCCUGCAGUGGAGAAUAGCCCGCCGAAAGGCGGAUUAAUACUUCAUGGUCCCGCAAGGGUAAAGGUGGCUUCGGCUGCCGCUGCAGGAUUGGCUCGCGGCCUAUCAGCUUGUUGGUGAGGUAACGGCUCACCAAGGCAACGACGGGUACCUGGUCUGAGAGGAUGAUCAGGCACACUGGAACUGAGACACGGUCCAGACACCUACGGGUGGCAGCAGUCGAGAAUAAUUCACAAUGGGCGAAAGCCUGAUGGUGCAACGCCGCGUGGAGGAUGACGGUCUUCGGAUUGUAAACUCCUGUCAUCGGGGAGUAAGACCUGGCGGUAAAUAGCCGACAGGGUUGAUAGUACCCGAAGAGGAAGGGACGGCUAACUUCGUGCCAGCAGCCGCGGUAAUACGAAGGUCCCAAGCGUUGUUCGGAAUCACUGGGCGUAAAGGGAGCGUAGGCGG